GAUGAACGCUGGCGGCGUGCCUAAUACAUGCAAGUCGAGCGAACAGAUGAGGAGCUUGCUCCUCUGACGUUAGCGGCGGACGGGUGAGUAACACGUGGAUAACCUACCUAUAAGACUGGGAUAACUUCGGGAAACCGGAGCUAAUACCGGAUAAUAUAUUGAACCGCAUGGUUCAAUAGUGAAAGACGGUUUUGCUGUCACUUAUAGAUGGAUCCGCGCCGCAUUAGCUAGUUGGUAAGGUAACGGCUUACCAAGGCAACGAUGCGUAGCCGACCUGAGAGGGGGAGGGACGAAGUGUGAACGGAGCAGCGGUCUAGGGACCAAGGGGAGGGAGCAGUAGCGAAGCUGCCGUAAAUGGGGGAAGAUUGACAGAGGGACGGCGAGUGAGUGAAGAAGGUCAGCGGAUCGUAAAACUCUGGUAGGAAGGAAGAACAAAUGUGUAAGUAACGAAGCACGACUGGACGGUACCUAUUCAGAAAGCCGCGGCUACCGACGU
Molecule: ribosomal RNA, 496 nt
Filed under: uncultured bacterium
Lineage: Bacteria
Description: partial 16S ribosomal RNA
Rfam family: Bacterial small subunit ribosomal RNA
Source: RNAcentral